RNAcentral lists this ribosomal RNA (901 nucleotides) under uncultured bacterium. Its description in RNAcentral is "bacterial SSU rRNA". It matches the Rfam family "Bacterial small subunit ribosomal RNA", at positions 8 to 916 of the family's 1533-position model. The record is from RNAcentral.
AGAGUUGAUCCUGGCUCAGAUGAACGCUGGCGGCAUGCCUUACACAUGCAAGUCGAACGGUAACGCGGGGCAACCUGGCGACGAGUGGCGAACGGGUGAGUAACGCAUCGGAACGUGCCCAGUAGUGGGGGAUAGCCCGGCGAAAGCCGGAUUAAUACCGCAUACGACCUACGGGUGAAAGCGGGGGACCGUAAGGCCACGCGCUAUUGGAGCGGCCGAUGUCAGAUUAGGUAGUUGGUGGGGUAAAGGCCCACCAAGCCGACGAUCUGUAGCUGGUCUGAGAGGACGACCAGCCACACUGGGACUGAGACACGGCCCAGACUCCUACGGGAGGCAGCAGUGAGGAAUAUUGGUCAAUGGGCGCAAGCCUGAACCAGCGACGCCGCGUGGGGGAUGAAGGGGCUUUGCCUCGUAAACCUCUGUCGGAUGGGACGAAAGGUGGCUUUGAGCCACUGGGACGGUACCAUCAAAGGAAGGAUCGGCUAACUACGUGCCAGCAGCCGCGGUAAUACGUAGGAUCCGAGCGUUGUCCGGAGUUACUGGGUGUAAAGGGUGCGUAGGCUGUUCUGUGCGUCAGAGGUGAAAUCCACGGGCUUAACUCGUGGGGUGCCCUUGAUACGGCAGGGCUUGAGUACGAGAGAGGUGCGUGGAAUUCCUGGUGUAGCAGUGAAAUGCGUAGAUAUCAGGAGGAACACCGGUGGCGAAGGCGGUCAUCUGGCUCGUAACUGACGCUGAGGCACGAAAGCGCGGGGAUCAAACAGGAUUAGAUACCCUGGUAGUCCGCGCCCUAAACGAUGUAUGCUUGGUGUUGGACCCGCAAGGGUUCAGUGCCGAAGGGAAUCUGAUAAGCAUACCACCUGGGGAGUACGAUCGCAAGGUUGAAACUCAAAGGAAUUGACGG